Molecule: ribosomal RNA, 254 nt
Filed under: uncultured prokaryote
Description: partial 16S ribosomal RNA
Rfam family: Bacterial small subunit ribosomal RNA
Source: RNAcentral
ACGUAGGGCGCGAGCGUUGUCCGGAAUUAUUGGGCGUAAAGAGCUCGUAGGCGGCUCGGUAAGUCAGGUGUGAAAGCUCCGGGCUCAACCCGGAGAAGCCAGCUGAUACUGCCGUGGCUAGAGUCCAGUAGGGGAGCGUGGAACUCCUGGUGUAGCGGUGAAAUGCGCAGAUAUCAGGAGGAACACCGGUGGCGAAGGCGGUUCUCUGGGCAUUACCUGACGCUGAGGAGCGAAAGCAUGGGGAGCAAACAGGA